UGGGUCCCCCAGCUUCCUCAAUGGCUCCACCGCCACCUCGCCCUUCGCCAUCAUGCCCUCUAGCCCCCCGCUGGCAGAAGAGGGGGUGCCAGGCCUCCUGUAUUUGGGGUCUUCCCCCGGUGGAUGUCUCAUGGACUCUGGCCCCACACACUCACAAUGACUCUGGCUGGCCCCAUGCAGCGGGCCCAGGCGGCCUCACAUUCUGCUCUGCUAAGUUUGGAGAAAACAGAACAAUAAACCAGAUGCAGGUGGUGCCCGCCCGGCCUCUCACCUGCCUCCUUGGUGUGA
RNAcentral lists this small RNA (288 nucleotides) under Pan troglodytes (chimpanzee). RNAcentral describes it as "processed transcript". Lineage: Eukaryota; Metazoa; Chordata; Mammalia; Primates; Hominidae. The record is from RNAcentral.